CUCGUCGUUGCAUUAAUAAAAAGUUCGCUCUCGGUCUGGUAUGUGCAGCGCUUCGGAAAUUUGCUUCUCCUAUUUCCUCGAGGGAAAUAAAUAGACGAAAAACACGGAAUUUGGAGCUUGUUCGUAUGUUAGCGAAGCAAUGGGGCGGUUCGGAGUAAUGACUGCGACAUGGCAAGACCGGCAAACACUACAGACAUGCGCAAUUUUGCACCGAUCCAUACAAAGAAAUUUCUGCUUGUUUACAGCUGCGGCCAUUUUGGACGCUCAUUUCGUUAAUUGUUCCGGUAACGAGCGAGAUCGGUGUCCACUCCAAUUGUACGGUUUUAGUGUCUUUACAUGCUAACGAUUAUUACCACAGAAAAAACAGUGAGAAAUCCAGGCCCAGACACCGGAGGAUGCACUGAUCAGAGGUACCAUCCGGUAUUAGGCACUUUCACGCAUUUAAAUGCUAAUCUUGUGUAAUGGGACGCAUACCUGGAACUUGCGGGGACGCAUUUACAGCCAACACACAAAUUUUCACGAAAUCAUGCAAAUUUUCAGGUGAUAACAGGAUCUGUGACCUCAUUCAAGGACUAGCCGGGAAAAAUUGCUAUUUUGAGCACGAUAUCGAUUGCGACGUGGCGUUUUCCAAUGACAAUACAGGAAAAACACUUUUCUUAAUUAAAAAUAUUGAAAAAAUUCCAAGAAUUGUUUCAGGUCGUCGGUAAUUACGUUUAGGGCAUUGGCAGAAGUAAACGCCACUAAUGACCCCCCUCAGGUUAGGUUAGUAAAUAAAAAAAAUCCCAAAAAUACCUAUUUUUCCAGCAGAGGUAAAAAUGCGAAUCCCACGCAAAGGAAGUGUUUUACGAAAUAAAACUAAACGUCGUAAUAAUUUUUUAUUAAAACAAACAUUUACAAUACAAUAGAAUACAUUGAACACCCGAUUUACUUUCCUCUUGUAGGCUUAUUUUCCCUCAGACUUUAUACAAAAAUGUACCAGUUGAUUACUUGUAGCAUCAAAAUUGUUUAAUAAAAAUAAAAAAGUCAGCAUUUCUCUA
This is a long non-coding RNA of Tribolium castaneum (red flour beetle), 1037 nucleotides long. RefSeq lists it as uncharacterized. Lineage: Eukaryota; Metazoa; Arthropoda; Insecta; Coleoptera; Tenebrionidae. The record is from RefSeq and is a predicted model, not a curated record. The transcript is spliced from 2 exons.